Non-coding RNA from Phalacrocorax carbo (great cormorant), 670 nucleotides. Lineage: Eukaryota; Metazoa; Chordata; Aves; Suliformes; Phalacrocoracidae. The record is from RefSeq and is a predicted model, not a curated record.
GUGGGAAUUCCUGCCGGGGCAGUGAGUUAUGGAGGACACGUUCAUUUCUCACCCCUCCUACCUCACACAGGAGGUGCAGGCCGCGAGCGCUGCCGGAGCGGGCACGGCUGCCUGCAGCCCCGCCGCGGGGGCACAGGUGCGGACCGAGGAUCGUCCCCGUGCCGUGCGGAGCAGCAGCCUGGGGAGAGGAGGCAGGUUUGGAAGAGCAGCCAGGACGGGGCUCUGCCUUCCCCUCCAUCCUCGAGCAGGAGGGCAGGAUCUGGCCCGUGCGCCCGCGACUGGGGGUCGUCAGCAAUAACAGCCGGCACCGGGAGCCCCUCCGCUGGGACGGGGGCUGGUUCACCUGCACACCCCUCAGCCGGUGUCAGGGCGAGGGAGCGGGUGUCCCCUCGGAUUGUGAAGAUGCCGAAUACAUCAUGGACUGGCCUGAUUUUUAAAAGAUGCCCAGGUAGGUGUGCCGGUGAACGCCCCGAGUGCCCCGAGGGAACGAAGACGGCUGCCGAGCGGCUCCAAAUGAAGCACGAGGAUGUGAAAGGCCCAAUAGGUUUUCAGAAGAGCCACCAGACAAUUGUAACAACGUUGUCCUGCUGUAUUAGUUUAAUGUCCACUUGAAUCACUGACCUUAAGGUCUGAGAAGGACUAAACCUAGAAACGGAUGAUUUUUUCCAUG